CCUACGGGAGGCAGCAGUGGGGAAUAUUGCACAAUGGGCGCAAGCCUGAUGCAGCCAUGCCGCGUGUGUGAAGAAGGCCUUCGGGUUGUAAAGCACUUUCAGUAAGGAGGAAAGGUUAAGUGUUAAUAGCACUUAGCUGUGACGUUACUUACAGAAGAAGCACCGGCUAACUCCGUGCCAGCAGCCGCGGUAAUACGGAGGGUGCGAGCGUUAAUCGGAAUUACUGGGCGUAAAGCGUACGCAGGCGGUUUGUUAAGCGAGAUGUGAAAGCCCCGGGCUCAACCUGGGAACUGCAUUUCGAACUGGCAAACUAGAGUGUGAUAGAGGGUGGUAGAAUUUCAGGUGUAGCGGUGAAAUGCGUAGAGAUCUGAAGGAAUACCGAUGGCGAAGGCAGCCACCUGGGUCAACACUGACGCUCAUGUACGAAAGCGUGGGGAGCAAACAGGAUUAGAUACCCUGGUAGUCCACGCCGUAAACGAUGUCUACUAGAAGCUAGAAUCUUCGGAGUUUUUUUCAAAGCUACACGCA
RNAcentral lists this ribosomal RNA (528 nucleotides) under uncultured bacterium. Its description in RNAcentral is "bacterial SSU rRNA". It matches the Rfam family "Bacterial small subunit ribosomal RNA", at positions 338 to 859 of the family's 1533-position model. The record is from RNAcentral.